RNAcentral lists this ribosomal RNA (607 nucleotides) under Craterellus yunnanensis. Its description in RNAcentral is "Cantharellus yunnanensis partial large subunit ribosomal RNA". It matches the Rfam family "Eukaryotic large subunit ribosomal RNA", at positions 122 to 783 of the family's 3401-position model. The record is from RNAcentral. Lineage: Eukaryota; Fungi; Basidiomycota; Agaricomycetes; Cantharellales; Hydnaceae.
UGGCAGUGUUGCACUGUCCGAGUUGUAGAUGAGGAGUAGUCCGUCUGGACUGCAUGGCGUCCAAGUACAAUAGGCCGUCAGUGGGACAUCAUAGAGGGUGACAAUCCCGUCCUUGACGCCAAUGUGCAAGUCUAUUACGAUGGCUAUCUCAGAGAGUCGAGCAGUUUGGGAUUUGCUGCUUAAACAUGGGAGGUAGAUUCCUUCUAAAGCUAAAUACAGGCGAGAGACCGAUAGAGAACAAGUACCGCAAGGGAAAGAUGAAAUAGCACUCUGUGAAGGGAGUCAAAAGGCGUGAAAUUGUUGCGAGAGAAGCGAUUCAAGUCAGCGUAGCUAGGCCCAUCAAGCGUCUUCGCUUUGGACUAGCUUUGCCAGCGGUCUUGUCCCUUGAAGAGACUUGACUUGUAAUAUGUCCAGCCUGGCGUGCACAGGCAGCCCCUUCUGGGGGCCAGUGGCAUGGCUGGUGGAAUGGCUUGCAAUCGACCCGUCUUGAAACACGGACCAAGGAGUCUAACAUGUAUGCGAGUAUAAGGGUGGCAAACCCGUAUGCGCAAUGAAAGUGAUUUUCGGUGAUUGAGAAUGGCCUGAUGACCAGACAAGCAAUAUAUGU